UUAGGCGUGCCCGAUAGGCAAAUCCGUUGGGCUUAGCCGAGGCGUGAUGACGCAAGACUCUCACGGGUCCCAAGCCACUGAGACCCCGCUUCCAGGAAAAGCCUCUAAGCUUCAGUUGCAUGAAGACCGUACCGCAAACCGACACAGGUGGGCAGGAUGAAGAUUCUAAGGCGCUUGAGAGAACUCAGGAGAAGGAACUCGGCAAAUUAGCACCGUAACUUCGGGAGAAGGUGCGCCCCGGUAGUGUGUAGCGGCUUGCCCGUGAAGCACGAUGGGGUUGCAGUGAAUUGGUGGCUGCGACUGUUUAAUAAAAACACAGCACUCUGCAAACACGAAAGUGGACGUAUAGGGUGUGACGCCUGCCCGGUGCCGGAAGGUUAAGUGAUGGGGUGCAAGCUCUUGAUCGAAGCCCCGGUAAACGGCGGCCGUAACUAUAACGGUCCUAAGGUAGCGAAAUUCCUUGUCGGGUAAGUUCCGACCUGCACGAAUGGCGUAACGAUGGCCACACUGUCUCCUCCUGAGACUCAGCGAAGUUGAAGUGGUUGUGAAGAUGCAAUCUACCCGCUGCUAGACGGAAAGACCCCAUGCACCUUUACUGUAGCUUUGCAUUGGACUUUGAUGAGACUUGUGUAGGAUAGGUGGGAGGCUUUGAAGGCGGGAUGCUAGUUCCGCUGGAGCCGUCCUUGAAAUACCACCCUGGUGUCAUUGAGGUUCUAACCUAGAUCCAUUAUCUGGAUCGGGGACCGUGCAUGGCAGGCAGUUUGACUGGGGCGGUCUCCUCCCAAAGGGUAACGGAGGAGUUCGAAGGUUCGCUAGGUACGGUCGGACAUCGUACUGAUAGUGCAUUGGCAAAAGCGAGCUUGACUGCGAGACGGACAUGUCGAGCAGGUGCGAAAGCAGGACAAAGUGAUCCGGUGGUUCUGUAUGGAAGGGUCAUCGCUCAACGGAUAAAAGGUACGCUGGGGAUAACAGGCUGAUGACUCCCAAGAGUUCAUAUCGACGGAGCCGUUUGGCACCUCGAUGUCGGCUCAUCACAUCCUGGGGCUGUAGCCGGUCCCAAGGGUAUGGCUGUUCGCCAUUUAAAGUGGUACGUGAGCUGGGUUUAAAACGUCGUGAGACAGUUUGGUCCCUAUCUGCAGUGGGCGUUGGAGAUUUGACGGGGGCUGCUCCUAGUACGAGAGGACCGGAGUGGACGCACCCCUGGUGUACCGGUUGUGACGCCAGUCGCAUCGCCGGGUAGCUAUGUGCGGAAGAGAUAACCGCUGAAAGCAUCUAAGCGGGAAACUUGCCUGAAGAUGAGAUCUCCCGGAGGCUUGACCUCCCUGAAGGGUCGUGGAAGACCACCACGUUGAUAGGCCGGGUGUGGAAGCGCAGUAAUGCGUUAAGCUAACCGGUACUAAUUGCCCGUGCGGCUUGAUCCU
This 1421-nucleotide ribosomal RNA is filed under the name metagenome. Its description in RNAcentral is "bacterial LSU rRNA". It matches the Rfam family "Bacterial large subunit ribosomal RNA", at positions 1520 to 2925 of the family's 2925-position model. The record is from RNAcentral.